RNAcentral lists this ribosomal RNA (396 nucleotides) under Cryomonadida sp. Its description in RNAcentral is "partial small subunit ribosomal RNA". It matches the Rfam family "Eukaryotic small subunit ribosomal RNA", at positions 582 to 975 of the family's 1831-position model. The record is from RNAcentral. Lineage: Eukaryota; Cercozoa; Thecofilosea; Cryomonadida.
AUUCCAGCUCCAAUAGCGUAUAUUAAAGUUGUUGCAGUUAAAAAGCUCGUAGUUGGAUUUCUGGGGGGCGCGUUGGGUCCGCCCGGCAACGGGUGCGCACUUUUGACGUCCGUCUCCCAUCCUCGCGAAGAGCGGCCUCGGCAUUAACUUGUCGCGGGCCGGGACUCGCGUCGUUUACUGUGAACAAAUUAGAGUGUUUAAAGCAGGCGUUUGCUGUGAAUACAUUAGCAUGGAAUAAUAAUCUAGGACUUCGGUUCUAUUUUGUUGGUUUCUAGUACUGAAGUAAUGAUUGAUAGGGAUAGUUGGGGGUGCUAGUAUUGGCCGGCCAGAGGUGAAAUUCUUGGAUUCGAUCAAGACUAACUUAUGCGAAAGCAUUCACCAAGGAUGUCUUCAUCG